AACCUUUACACUGCACGACAGUGCGAUAAGGGGACUCCGAGUGCGAGGGCAUACAGUCCUCGCUUUUCUGUACCGUAGGGUGGUACAGGAACAAGUGCUGGGCAAGACCGGUGCCAGCCGCCGCGGUAAUACCGGCAGCACGAGUGAUGGCCGAUAUUAUUGGGCCUAAAGCGUCCGUAGCUGGCCGGCCAAGUCCGUUGGGAAAUCCACCCGCUUAACGGGUGGGCGUCCAGCGGAAACUGUCCGGCUUGGAGCCGGAGGACCUGAGGGGUACGUCCGGGGUAGGAGUGAAAUCCUGUAAUCCUGGACGGACCGCCGGUGGCGAAAGCGCCUCAGGAAGACGGACUCGACAGUGAGGGACGAAAGCUAGGGUCUCGAACCGGAUUAGAUACCCGGGUAGUCCUAGCUGUAAACAAUGUCCGCCAGGUGGUGGCGCAGGCUACGAGCCUGCGCUGUGCCGUAGGGAAGCCGUGAAGCGGACCGCCUGGGAAGUACGUCUGCAAGGAUGAAACUUAA
Molecule: ribosomal RNA, 516 nt
Filed under: uncultured archaeon
Lineage: Archaea
Description: bacterial SSU rRNA
Rfam family: Archaeal small subunit ribosomal RNA
Source: RNAcentral